GUUAAUAUAGUUUAAUAAAAAUAUCAGACUGUGAAUCUGAAGAUAGGAUAUUAAUCUCCUUAUUCACC
RNAcentral lists this transfer RNA (68 nucleotides) under Caryomys eva. Its description in RNAcentral is "tRNA-His". It matches the Rfam family "tRNA". Rfam says of the family: Transfer RNA (tRNA) molecules are approximately 80 nucleotides in length. Their secondary structure includes four short double-helical elements and three loops (D, anti-codon, and T loops). Further hydrogen bonds mediate the characteristic L-shaped molecular structure. tRNAs have two regions of fundamental functional importance: the anti-codon, which is responsible for specific mRNA codon recognition, and the 3' end, to which the tRNAs corresponding amino acid is attached (by aminoacyl-tRNA synthetases). tRNAs cope with the degeneracy of the genetic code in two manners: having more than one tRNA (with a specific anti-codon) for a particular amino acid; and 'wobble' base-pairing, i.e. permitting non-standard base-pairing at the 3rd anti-codon position. The record is from RNAcentral. Lineage: Eukaryota; Metazoa; Chordata; Mammalia; Rodentia; Cricetidae.